UACGUAGGGGGCAAGCGUUAUCCGGAUUUACUGGGUGUAAAGGGAGCGUAGACGGCUGUGCAAGUCUGGAGUGAAAACCCGGGGCUCAACCCCGGGAUUGCUUUGGAAACUGUGUAGCUGGAGUACCGGAGAGGCAAGUGGAAUUCCUAGUGUAGCGGUGAAAUGCGUAGAUAUUAGGAGGAACACCAGUGGCGAAGGCGGCUUGCUGGACGGUAACUGACGUUGAGGCUCGAAAGCGUGGGGAGCAAACAGG
Molecule: ribosomal RNA, 253 nt
Filed under: uncultured bacterium
Lineage: Bacteria
Description: partial 16S ribosomal RNA
Rfam family: Bacterial small subunit ribosomal RNA
Source: RNAcentral